Molecule: ribosomal RNA, 253 nt
Filed under: uncultured bacterium
Lineage: Bacteria
Description: partial 16S ribosomal RNA
Rfam family: Bacterial small subunit ribosomal RNA
Source: RNAcentral
UACGAACUGCGCAAACGUUAUUCGGAAUCACUGGGCUUACAGGGUGCGUAGGCUGCCAUUCAGGUCCGAUGUGAAAUCCCACAGCUCAACUGUGGAAUGGCAUUGGAAACCGAUUGGCUUGAGUGAGCUAGAGAUGCACGGAACUUCCGGUGGAGCGGUGAAAUGUGUUGAGAUCGGAAGGAACACCAGAGGCGAAGGCGGUGCAUUGGGGCUUGUCUGACGCUGAGGCACGAAAGCCAGGGGAGCGAACGGG